This 430-nucleotide ribosomal RNA is filed under the name Bacteroidota bacterium. RNAcentral's name for it is "Bacteroidetes bacterium partial 16S ribosomal RNA". It matches the Rfam family "Bacterial small subunit ribosomal RNA", at positions 355 to 776 of the family's 1533-position model. Lineage: Bacteria; Pseudomonadati; Bacteroidota. The record is from RNAcentral.
UAGGGAAUCUUCGGCAAUGGGGGGAACCCUGACCGAGCAACGCCGCGUGAGUGAAGAAGGUUUUCGGAUCGUAAAGCUCUGUUGUUAAGGAAGAACGAGUGUGAGAAUGGAAAGUUCAUGCUGUGACGGUACUUAACCAGAAAGGGACGGCUAACUACGUGCCAGCAGCCGCGGUAAUACGUAGGUGGCAAGCGUUGUCCGGAUUUAUUGGGCGUAAAGCGAGCGCAGGCGGUCAAUUAAGUCUGAUGUGAAAGCCCCCGGCUCAACCGGGGAGGGUCAUUGGAAACUGGUUGACUUGAGUGCAGAAGAGGAGGGUGGAAUUCCAUGUGUAGCGGUGAAAUGCGUAGAUAUAUGGAGGAACACCAGUGGCGAAGGCGACUCUCUGGUCUGUAACUGACGCUGAGGCUCGAAAGCGUGGGUAGCAAACAGG